Molecule: long non-coding RNA, 2126 nt
Filed under: Capra hircus (goat)
Lineage: Eukaryota; Metazoa; Chordata; Mammalia; Artiodactyla; Bovidae
Description: lncRNA (ENSCHIG00010005834.1)
Source: RNAcentral
UCUAGGCUGGAGGACAAGAUAACAACAUUUGAUGGAAAUGUGCAGCCUGUAUGAUGCAAUGAGUUAAUAAUGUUCAAAGUACUAAACUACCCUCAGCUGUAACAGUUAUAAGAGCUGAGUCUCCAUGAAGAAUACUGAAGUCAUAGAAAUCUAAUAACAAGUAGAGUUGAGCUGGCAUUAGAUAAGGGGGAAAAGGGCUUCCCAGAUGGCUCUAGUGGUAAAGAACCCACCUGCCAAUGAAGGAGACAUAAUAGAUGUGGGUUUGAUCUCUGGAUCAGGGAAGAUCCCCUGGAGGAAAUGACAACCUACUCUAAUAUUCUUGCCUGGGAAAUCUGAUGGACAGGGGAGCCUGGCACGCUACAGUUCACAGGGUUGCAAAGAGUCAGACAUGACCAUAGGGAGGAGCACAUAUAAGGAGGAAAAGGUAGUUAUCAAAAUAGAAGGUGGACUUCAUGUUUGUUUAGAUAGCGCAUCAUAAACUUCAAGAAAAAUCUUCUGGGUCCCCACACCAUCUUCCCUCCUGAAGUGAAAAUAGGCUGGAUAAGGCAGAUUAUCACUGUGGCUUCUAGAGAUUUGAUUUCUGCUGUUACUGAAUUUGGAAGAAGAAGAGAAAAAUGUGCUGUUCUCCAAGUGACUUAUUUAUGGGCUUCCACACUGGGAUAAUUCUAUAAGUCCUUGAAACGUGAACUUGAACUGUUCUACCCUGAUGACUGUCAGUUUUUGAAAAUGGAACAAAUCUAAUANNNNNNGAAGACUAUAAUCUAUUAAAGUCAUUCUUUAAUUUUUCCUGAUCUGUUGGCAUAUUUGGCUUGGGUUUUUGUUUUUAUUUUUUUCUUUUUUGUUUCAGGCACAAAGAACUAUUAUUGGCCCCUAAAGAAAACAAUAUUUUCCUCCUAAGUUCUUUGAAAUUUGGUUUUCAUGUUGAUUCUAUUAAAGGAAGAACAGACUUCACAGCUGGGACAAGAUCUGUUUGGCAUUUGUCUUCUGCAGCCUUGAAGAGUCUUUGUUGACCACUCUGGGUAAGGAAAAAUGCCACAAUAUUUAUUCCCAAAUAGUUAAAGUGGUUCUGGCCAGCUUCUAUUUUGGGAAAUUGCAUGUUGCCAACAUAAAGAAUUUCCCACAUCAUCUCUGUUAUAUUCUAUUCUUCAUUUCCUGCUCUGUAGUGGAACCAUGCUUUUUUUUUUUUCUUUUCCUUUUUUCCCCCAUGAAACUGCUGUCUUGUAGGGAGGAGGAGGCAGAGGUGAUUUCUUUAUUUUGAGGUCAUUUUGCAGACAGUGAGCUGCCAAAUCCAUUUGAGUAUUUUUCAAGAACCAACAUUGUUAUGCUUCACCUUGUAGCUGUGUAGGAGAUAUCCCAGAAAUUUCAUUUAUUGGGUACCAUAAAACUCAAGGCUUCGACAUAAUUCUUUUCCUAUAAAAUAAAGCUAUGUGGUAAGGCAAGAAAUACUGAGAACAACAAAUACGUGAAUAGCAGGCUCACAGAAAUGUCUUCUUCCCUUCUACCUCUUCACAGGCCUCAGCCACAUCAUUUGCUAGAAAAUCAUUAUGGCUGCCAUGCUCAUUGGGACUGCUGCUCAACUGUGACAAUUACAGCUGGUUUAUGAAGUCCUUGUGUCUGCUGAGCUGAUGAAGCUAAAAAUGAGCCAUAAUUUCUAUACUAACCCAAAAUGACUAGCCACCAUGAAGGUGUGUUCUCCUUUGCUGAGACACAGUGGUCAGCCUGAUGGGAAACAAGUAGAUAAUGUGAAAUGGAGGCAAAAGGCAAGCAGGCCAUUAUCCCAGGAUCAGUACUUAAACAUGUUCAUGGUGCUAAGCUUGCCCCUAAUGUUUCUGAGGUUGUAGCAAGACUAUAAACAGAGGUCUUAAAUAUUUAAAAUAUAUAAAGCUAAUAUACAAAUGCAUAAUAUAUUCUGUCCUCUUAUUUUGACAAGUACACUCUCAUGGUGACAUGGAAGUCUUAAACUUUGUGGAGUUAAUUAAUACUAUAACGCGAAUGGCAGAUUUAAGGGAGUGACUUUUAGUGGGAAGCAGUGAGGCUGUAUUACAAAGUCUUGGCAAAAGAUGCAGAGAGAAGAUAUGGAUAUGCAGGGACAAAUGGAAUACUAUUCUGUAACUUUGUAAACUGCU